AAUUCAUAUACAUGUAUAAAUUAACAAAUGAACAAAAAGUAUCAAUUAACAACUGGUAAGUCACUGGGGGGAAACAGCCACAUGCACAGUAUCCGAAUAACCGGAAUCAAGUUUCAAGUUUUCUCUUUUUAAAAUUUCCAUUUUGAGAGACAUAGUUUUGAAUAUUUACUUCUGUAUGCCAAUUGUAAAAACAGUUUCUUGUUGCUGAACAACAAAGUGGGACAUUACAAGUAUUACAAACUGAAAAUACUUUGUGGCUUGGUGACGGUAAACCAUCC
RNAcentral lists this long non-coding RNA (278 nucleotides) under Mytilus galloprovincialis (Mediterranean mussel). Lineage: Eukaryota; Metazoa; Mollusca; Bivalvia; Mytilida; Mytilidae. The record is from RNAcentral.